This 375-nucleotide ribosomal RNA is filed under the name Lepetodrilus atlanticus. RNAcentral's name for it is "SSU rRNA". It matches the Rfam family "Eukaryotic small subunit ribosomal RNA", at positions 51 to 414 of the family's 1831-position model. Lineage: Eukaryota; Metazoa; Mollusca; Gastropoda; Lepetellida; Lepetodrilidae. The record is from RNAcentral.
AUGCAUGUCUAAGUACAAACUCUAGCACAGUGAAACUGCGAAUGGCUCAUUAGAUCAGUUAUGGUUCCUUAGACGAUACAAUCCUACUUGGAUAACUGUGGUAAUUCUAGAGCUAAUACAUGCACUCUAGCUCCGACCCUUUCGCGAGGGGAAGAGCGCGUUUAUCAGUUCGAAGCCAGCCGGGUUGCAAAACUCGACUCUUUGGUGACUCUGGAUAACUCUUGCGGAUCGCACGGUCUCGAACCGGCGACGCGUCUAUCAAGUGUCUGCCCUAUCAGACUGUCGAUGGUAAGUGCUAUGCUUACCAUGGUGAUAACGGGUAACGGGGAAUCAGGGUUCGAUUCCGGAGAGGGAGCAUGAGAAACGGCUACCACA